This is a long non-coding RNA of Oryzias melastigma (Indian medaka), 672 nucleotides long. RefSeq lists it as uncharacterized. NCBI's taxonomy places the organism in Eukaryota, Metazoa, Chordata, Actinopteri, Beloniformes, Adrianichthyidae. The record is from RefSeq and is a predicted model, not a curated record. The transcript is spliced from 3 exons.
GCCCAGUUCCUCCAACCACAUAGUGCCAGAUUGUCCUCUUACUGACUGAUUCCAGUGCAGCCAUUUGGAUGUUUAGUCUCCAGAAAUUGUUUGAUUCUGCCUGUCUAUCUCUCUGGCUGGCUCCAAGAUCCCAAUAAAUGGUCAUCCACCAAAAUACCCCUUACAAGAUUCACGCUCCAUGAAGGAAAUCUCUGGAAACUUCCUCAUUCUCAUCCAACCACAUGACGACAAACGGCUCAAACCACCUGCAGCAGAAAGACAAAAAUCCUGCAUGAUGCUUCUCUGCACCGCCAGAGGAAAACACGAGAAGAAAAGGUGCGUGACUCACGCUGGAUAUUCAGGCGGUUCUUCUCAUGCUCUGAAUGUCAAAGACAGCAGGUGUAAGAGAAGCUCCAAGCGGCAGUCUGUCUGAUCUCACAGUGGAGGAGCGAACACUCACCCUCCAUGGCGUACUUCAUGUCCUGAGCGAACAUGUUCCACAUGACUUCUGCACUGAUCUUCCCCACAUUGAGUUCUUGUGGAAACCUGGGGCAGCAUCACAGAAGUUUCAGUCAAGCUUUAGGAGGAGCAGACCAGCAUUUUUCCUGUUUCUCCUCAGAAAACUAAAAAUGAUUUCCUUUGUUCAUACUGAAACUAACCCAUUAGCUCAUUAAAACUGGUUCUAAUAUGUUU